AAUUUUGGACAAUGGGGGAAACCCUGAUCCAGCCAGCCCGCGGGUAUGAUGAAGGCCUUCGGGUUGUAAAGUACUUUUUGCAGAGGAGAAAGGGUACCUCCUAAUACGAGGUACUGCUGACGGUAUCUGCAGAAUAAGCACCGGCGAACUACGGGCCAGCAGACGCGUUAAUACGCAGGGUGCAAGCGUUAAUUGGAAUUACUGGGCGUAAAGCGUGUGUAGGCGGUUCGGAAAGAAAGAUGUGAAAUCCCAGGGCUCAACCUUGGAACUGCAUUUUUAACUGCAGAGCUAGAGUAUGUCAGAGGGGGGUAGAAUUCCACGUGUAGCAGUGAAAUGCGUAGAUAUGUGGAGGAAUACCGAUGGCGAAGGCAGCCCCCUGGGAUAAUACUGACGCUCAGACACGAAAGCGUGGGGAGCAAACAG
This 423-nucleotide ribosomal RNA is filed under the name uncultured bacterium. Its description in RNAcentral is "partial 16S ribosomal RNA". It matches the Rfam family "Bacterial small subunit ribosomal RNA", at positions 360 to 775 of the family's 1533-position model. The record is from RNAcentral.